AUGCAGGAUAAAAACAUGCCGCUCAACCUCGUACCUGCUGCUGGAAUGAAGUUCACCACGUACGAAAAGGCAUGGGACUUUUACAACAAUUAUGCAAGAUGUGCAGGGUUUGGUAUACGCAAGAGGGCAAAACACAGGACAAAUGCCUACAUUGUCUGCUCAAGAGAAGGGGUCCACAAGGCUGUGUCAGAUUAUCACCGGGUACGUCAGAAGACAUCAAAAAGGAUUGGCUGCAAUGCAAAGAUUAGAGUUAAAAAAAGGAAGGAUGGCAAAUUUGUGAUAGAAAUGGUUCAACUCAACCACAAUCACAAGAUGCUGGAAAGCCCCGGGAUGCUGUUGCACAUGCGAUUGCACAAAAAAGACGAUCCUUUGAUAGACCAGUUAGUGAAAGACAUGCAACUGGACAACCACACACAUGCUCAGAUGAUGUCGACGCUGUCGCGUAUGACCGGUGGUCUGCAGUACAUGGGACAUACUAGCCGCGACUGGGUAAAUAGGAAACAGAAGUUUGCCAGAGAAGAGUCUGAAGAUGAUGUCAAGAAACUUCUGAAUUUCUUCGAGAAAAUGCAAAAGAUAAACCCAGAGUUCUUCUAUAAUUAUGAUGUUGAUGCAGAUAACCGUGUAAGAAACGUCUUUUGGGCGAACGCAAGUUGCAGAGGAUCGUAUGAAGAUUUUGGAGACUGCGUUACAUUUGACACGACUUAUAAAACUAACAAAUUCCACAUGCCUCUGGGAGUGUUUAUGGGGGUGAACCAUCAUCUACAAUGCACCAUAUUUGCUGUUGCACUCGUGCGAGAUGAAACAAUACCAUCAUUUGAGUGGGUUUUCAAAACCUUUCUGAGGUGUAUGAACAACAAGCCGCCAAUCUGCAUGCUCACAGACCAGUGUUCUCCGAUGAAGGCAGCAUUAAAAACUAUCCUCCCACAAACUCUGCAUAAGCUGUGUCGGUGGCAUAUCAUGAAGAAGUACAAGGACCACCUCGCCUUGCUGUAUAAGGCGCACGAGAAGCUCAAGGACGAACUCAAUGCAGUGCUGAACCACCCACUAAUGCCGUCAGAAUUUGAACGAGCAUGGAAGAACCUCAUUCAGAGGUACAACUUGCAAGACGACGAA
RNAcentral lists this ribosomal RNA (1113 nucleotides) under Triticum aestivum (bread wheat). RNAcentral describes it as "partial small subunit ribosomal RNA". The record is from RNAcentral. Lineage: Eukaryota; Viridiplantae; Streptophyta; Magnoliopsida; Poales; Poaceae.